Non-coding RNA from Triticum urartu, 1564 nucleotides. NCBI's taxonomy places the organism in Eukaryota, Viridiplantae, Streptophyta, Magnoliopsida, Poales, Poaceae. The record is from RefSeq and is a predicted model, not a curated record.
GAGCGAGCAGAAUUGUAAAAGAAAAACACAGGCACACACGAGCACGAGGGCUCGCCUUCGAUGCGUACGGGUACGCCGCUGCCGCCUCCGCACGCGGCCUCUCCGGCCAUCCGCCGCCACUGCCGCGCGCCGCCUCUCUGCCAUCCGCCUAUUCUCUUUCCCCUCCCCAUCCGUACCAAUCUUCUCCGGCGCCACCUGAAGCCUCCUCAACCUCCAAUCUCAUGCUGUCAAGCCCUUCCAAUCUCGCCGGAACAUGGACUUAACUGAAACGCCGUCCUGCUAGCCGUGCCCACUUGAGCGAGGAGAGAGUGGUGAGGCGGCUUAGGUGAGGCUCGGGACGGCAUCUCGCAUGUAACUACGCCACCCCUGCAUCUCUAUGCUAAUCUGAGUGCAGUACUCUGCCUAAUGCUCUACUUCUCCUCGAAAAUAUCUCUUGAAUGCCCCAUGUUUGGUUUGCACUUAUGAUGUCCGACAAUAUGCCUAAGCAGUGACCGCAUCAAUGCUGAUAUACAGUUCUUUAUCUCGUGUAUGAUUAUUAUGAUGUAUGAGAGGCUUGAGUGAAGGGAUCCUUAAUUAAUUUGUCCACAUGUAGCCCAAGGAUUUGGGAGUUUAGGGUUUGUUAUGAGUAGUUAGCUGCCUAUGAUGUGUGCCCAAACAAAUUGUCAUGUUUGUGGUAAAUCAUUAUGAACAGUUGUUUUUCCUGUGGCGCCGUCCAAGUGGGCCGAGGCCAGCGGCUACCACCAUGGUGUCGUCCUUCUUCUAGACGUUCAUCGCGGGUCCAGAUUCAUGAUGACGGCACCGCAUCUAGCGAUGACGCGAGCUCAUGUGGGCGCUGCAACUUCCGAGAACACGGGAGUCUCCAUGGCCAGCGAGUACGUGAGCACACUCACACACCACAACUCUCAAGGAUGCGGGAGCCGCCUCGGCCGGCGAGGACUCCUGAACCAUGCUCAGAACGACUGUGUUCAGCAACUGUCAGACUUUGGUGGUGUACCCCGGCUGCCAAACCAUGCUUUGCCAACCUACUAGAGAAAAGGCGAGGCUCACCAAGGGAUGAUCCUUCCAUUGGAAGGGAAAUUAAUUUGCAUGCCUGAUUAUGGAAAAAAGAAGCCCUUCUGAACAUUACUUAUCCUCGAUGAGGGGGACCAACCAAAAGAGGUAGUCCGUGCUGAACUUGGAAUGGGAUAAUGGAAAACUAUUUGUUGUUACAUUCUAAUUUCAGUUGCUUUUGAGUUUUAGUAUUUUUUCCUUUUAGCAUGGUAAUUUGCUGGGACCUAGGAGUCUUGAUUUUAAUUAUUGCAGGAUGAUAAUCAGUUUUAUGUCGGUUUUAUCUUCUCAGGAGCAAGCAAAUUAUAGGUUCGUAGCAAACCUUUCAGCUGCUGCUGUGGUCCUCUUAUUAUUGUUAUAAAGUUCAAAAACCAUCAAUCUCAGGAAUGUUGUGACCAUGUAUUCGAUUCUAUUGAAGACCCAAUAUAUGAUAAGGUGCUAUUUUCAUUUGCUAUGCUGAGCAACCAUGAAAAACUCUGUCCAAUUCAUAAUUUGAAUUACUCAUGUGUGUUCUUUA